RNAcentral lists this ribosomal RNA (479 nucleotides) under Penicillium sp. FL-2010q. Its description in RNAcentral is "eukaryotic LSU rRNA". The stretch from base 99 to 252 matches the Rfam family "5.8S ribosomal RNA". The record is from RNAcentral. Lineage: Eukaryota; Fungi; Ascomycota; Eurotiomycetes; Eurotiales; Aspergillaceae.
CCGCCGGGGGGCAUCCGCUCCCGGGCCCGCGCCCGCCGAAGACACCAAUGAACUCUGUCUGAAGAUUGCAGUCUGAGCAGAUUAGCUAAAUCAGUUAAAACUUUCAACAACGGAUCUCUUGGUUCCGGCAUCGAUGAAGAACGCAGCGAAAUGCGAUACGUAAUGUGAAUUGCAGAAUUCAGUGAAUCAUCGAGUCUUUGAACGCACAUUGCGCCCCCUGGUAUUCCGGGGGGCAUGCCUGUCCGAGCGUCAUUGCUGCCCUCAAGCACGGCUUGUGUGUUGGGCUCCGCCCCCCGGCUCCCGGGGGGCGGGCCCGAAAGGCAGCGGCGGCACCGCGUCCGGUCCUCGAGCGUAUGGGGCUUCGUCACCCGCUCUGUAGGCCCGGCCGGCGCCCGCCGGCGACCCCAAUCAAUCUAUCCAGGUUGACCUCGGAUCAGGUAGGGAUACCCGCUGAACUUAAGCAUAUCAAUAAGCGGAGG